RNAcentral lists this ribosomal RNA (1710 nucleotides) under Triticum aestivum (bread wheat). RNAcentral's name for it is "partial small subunit ribosomal RNA". Lineage: Eukaryota; Viridiplantae; Streptophyta; Magnoliopsida; Poales; Poaceae. The record is from RNAcentral.
AUGGCAUCGCCGGGAGCGGAGGCCGUGGCCGCCGUUGACCACCGCGGCCGCCCGGUCUCCCGGCGCUCCUCCGGCCGGUGGCCGGCCGCGCUCUUCGUCAUCGGGGUGGAGGUCGCGGAGCGGUUCGCGUUCGCCGGCAUCUCCGGAAACCUCAUCACCUACCUGACCGGCCCGCUCGGGCAGCCGACGGCGGUGGCCGCCGCGGCCGUCAACGCGUGGUCAGGCGUGGCCAUGAUGCUCCCGCUGCUCGGCGCCGCCCUGGCCGACUCCUGGGUCGGCCGCUACCGCACCAUCCUCUACGCCUCCCUGCUAUACAUCCUGGGGCUAGCCAUGCUGACCAUCUCGUCGGCGGCGCACGCCUCCGAGGGCACGCCACAGGCAGCAUCCUUGGCGACGGCGAGCCCGUCCGCGGCCCAGGUGGCCUUCUUCUACGUCUCGCUCUACCUCGUCGCCGUCGCCUACGGCGGGCAGAAGCCGUGCGUGCAGGCGUUCAGCGCCGAGCAGUUCGACGAGAACGAUCCCGAGGAGCUCGCCUCCAGGGGCUCCUUCUUCAACUGGUUCUUCUUCGUCACGGACGGCAGCGUCACCAUCACCGUUCCGGCCCUGAACUACGUCCAGGACAGCGUGAGCUGGCAGCUCGGGUUCGGGAUCCCGGGCGUCGCCAUGGCGCUCGCUCUCGCCGUCUUCCUGCUCGGAACCAAGACCUACCGCUUCUACCCUCCGGCGAGGAAUGGUGGCCUGCUUGCGCGGCUCGGCGAACCGCUUGUCGCCACGGUUCGAUCUUGGCAUUCAUCAUGGCGCACCUCCAAAUUGUCUGACGACUCACAGCCAUUGCUCGAAAGCUCCUCACUGUCACCCAAGGGGGGCACCGACAAUGCCGGUUCCCCUCGUGAAGCGGCAUCGCUACUUAGAUUGUUUCCGAUAUGGUCGGCAUGCCUGAUCUACGCCGUCGUCUAUGCACAGUGGCCUACUUUCUUCACCAAGCAGGCGAGCACGCUCGACAGGAGAGUAGGCAGCCUGGUGGUGCCAGCCGCUGCCAUGCAGAACUUGAGCCAUGUCGCGGUCAUGAUCAUCCUGCCGAUCUACGACCGGAUCCUCGUUCCGCUGGCUAGAAAGCACACGGGGAACCCUCAUGGCAUCACAAUGCUGCAGAGGAUCGGCGUCGGGCUGGCGAUUUCGAUCGUCACGAUGAUCGUCGCCGCGCUCGUGGAGAUGAAGAGGCUUGGGAUAGCAGCAGAUCAUGGCAUCCUGGAUGAGCCUGAUGCUGUUGUUCCUAUGAGCUUGCUGUGGGUGGUUCCCCAGUUCCUCCUGGCAGGGUUGACCAGCGUGUUUGCAUAUGUUGGCCUGCUGGAGUUCUUCUACGACCAGGUGCCGGACUCCCUCCGCAGCCUGGGCAUAGCUCUGUGCAUGAGCAUAGGUGGGGUUGGCUGCUUCAUCAGUAGCUUCCUUGUGUACGCCAUUGACAGGGUGACCAGCAGCAAUGGGGGGAGCUGGUUCUCGAACAAUCUCAACAGGGGGCACCUCGAUUACUUCUUCUGGCUUCUGGCUUCUGGCUGCCCUCAGUGCCUUGGGCUUCUCUGCUUACCUGCACUUUGCAAAGGCUUAUGUCGAAAAGAAAAAGAAUUAUUCAGUUUUGGUACAAUGAUGUACAGAACGUUCAGUGUAAUAAUCAUGGCAAGUAUCAAAGGAAGUGAAGUUUGCUACUACUGA